Long non-coding RNA from Syzygium oleosum, 825 nucleotides. RefSeq lists it as uncharacterized. The transcript is spliced from 2 exons. Lineage: Eukaryota; Viridiplantae; Streptophyta; Magnoliopsida; Myrtales; Myrtaceae. The record is from RefSeq and is a predicted model, not a curated record.
UUCUAGGGUGAGAGGUUCCGGUUCCCGGUUCCAAUUUUUUAGGAACCGGCUCUCUCUCUUACUAAAAAGUAAAAACCCUAACUUCCUUAGUUUAUUCCCAAAUUUCCCCACGCUCGGUCACUCCUCCAUUGCGCUCUCUCUCCCACUCCCAACACCCACGACUCGACGAGACCAUCUUGCCUCUCCUCGCUCCAUUCGGUGUCCGCCUCGGCUCUUCCUCUAUCUUCAUCAACUGCGGUCCGGCUCGUUCGCGGUCUCUGCUUUUUCUAGGGUUUCCGAUUCUGGCUAGAGGGCGCAAGAAGGGAGCGAGCAAGGACAAGAGUAAGCGUCAGUUGAGUUUGGGCGAUCUCGUUCUUGCCAAAGUCAAGGGCCACCCUGCUUGGCCUACCAAGAUUAGCAGGCCAGAGGAUUGGCACCAAACUCCAGACCCGAAAAAGCACUUUGUGCAUUUCUUUGGAACACGAGAUGUAAGCUCACGAUCUGCUUGUACCACUUGUUUAUUUAUGUAUGAGUAGCUAGCUUAAUGGCUUUAUUGAGUUUUGUGUAUAGUUUCAUUCCUUUCAUGCAGUAACUACAGUAUCGUGUUCAUGAGCGGCUCUGUCUUUGUUUUUUUUGGUAAACCUUAAGGUUAUUAGACAGGCCCAGUUCAUCCACAAGAAGAAAAAGAAAAGGAAAAAUCCUGUUAGUUUGUCUUCAACAUUUAGUCAAAAGGUUCAGCCCGAGCUUCAAGACUGGCUUGAAGCCAGCCUUAGUUUCAUCUUUGUGCUAUUUCUUCUAUGUAGCACACAUGCUUUCCAAUUUUUAAGUGAUCAGCACUCCCUUGCA